Long non-coding RNA from Clupea harengus (Atlantic herring), 2167 nucleotides. RefSeq lists it as uncharacterized. The record is from RefSeq and is a predicted model, not a curated record. The transcript is spliced from 3 exons. Lineage: Eukaryota; Metazoa; Chordata; Actinopteri; Clupeiformes; Clupeidae.
GAGAAGAGAUAUAAAAGGGUCUGUAUGUUGUGUGUGUGUGUGUGUGUGUGUGUGUGUGUGAAACUCUUGUGUUCUUGAGGUAUGUGUAACCAUGUCAGAAUGGUGUACAGUUAGGAGCGGUCCCGAAACAACACAGGGUUUGAAAUUGGAAUGUAACACUUUGAUUGAUUAUUUGUUUUCCAGAAAGCAUUGCUACCGGUAAUUGGUCACCCAAGACCAAACCAACAGCACAUGAAUACGUUGAAUUGUCUUUGUUUACUGAUGAAAAACAAUCCACUACCCUCACUUCUGUGCAUUUGUAUCCAUGCUUUUCUUAAUGACUUACAGAUUCCCUUUUUUGUCUUGACUGCUGGAAAUGAUCCCAUUACCUUUGAAAGUUCCAGUACCGACAGGCUACCGUAGAGUUAGAGAAGGCAAUAAAAUGGGUUGAAAAUGUAAGCAUACGUAGCAUCACUUAAAGUACGUACUGUUGCACUACUGUCUCCUUGAUCGAUGUUUUGUGUUUAAACAUAGCAAUGUAUUUUUGGGGACCAAUGGCUUUGGGAUAUGAAUGUAUAAAAGCUGGGAUAUUACAAUGGAGAUGUGUGCUUAAUAACUUCCCAUAGAAACGUGCUGGUGGUCCAUGUCUUCUUUCACAUACAGCCUCACACACAGCCACAGAUCUGAUGCUUUGAGUCUGUUCAUCGUAAACAUUUACAGUUUUUAUACAUUUGACAUUUUUUUUAUAUGCAUCCUAAAUAACAAACAAUUUAAAUAUACCUGAUGUGGGUGAGGGUUAUAAUUAGAUUAUGAUCAGGGCCAGAUGACAUGUUGUUGACUGUAAGGAUUUCAACUGUAUAUUGAAAUGUGUCCAUAUUGUAAAUAUUUGUUAAAGCGCUAUUAAUCACAUAAUGGCUCAUUGACAUUAAGCAGUUUUGCUGCCCGAUUUCUACUUUCAUCACAUAGCUGGAGGUUUCCCUCUCAGUAUCAGAGAUGGAGAGUUCCCUCUGUAGGCUUUUUAAUUGAAAAAAGAUUGAGAAAGACAGGACAAAAUAGAACUGUUCAUUUUUUCCUGUUACGCUGUGAAAGAGUGGGCAUUUUUACAAUAUGAAGUGAUUUGUUCCACUUGACCAUUCUGAUAACAUUACAUUUAUGCAUCACAUGAUUGUUACUUUAAUCUAGGAUACUUAAUCUAGUUCCAGCUUCAGCAUAAUGUUUUGAUAAGGCGCUAUUGACAGUUAUGCCCUAUUUUCCGGGGAGUAUCCCCUCUUAAUGGGAUUUUUAUUAUAAUUGUGAUGAUGUCAGAGUGUCCGAGCAUUGCGGGCUAAUAACAAUAACAAGCGGUUUGCUCUUUCGGGAGACUGCAUGUCCAGAUGUACAAGGAGGAUUAUCGCCUGAAAAUAACAGAAUGUUGACACGUCCAGGCAUUGCUUUGCCCCUAACUUAUUUGCUGUUGGUUAUGAUGGGCGGAUUAUGCUUUGCUGCGACCACCUUGCGCAGUUUUCGUGGCUGCGCUGUGCGCGAGUUCUCCUUUGUAGCGCAUAAACCUGGCUGCAGGGGUCUGCGCGUGCACACAGAGGCGUGCUGGGGGAGAUGCCAAACUUGGGAGAAACCUUUACCGGAGCCACCGUAUAUUCAGCGCCACCACCGAGUCUGCACCUACAGCCGCACGCGCCACCUGACUGCCCGACUCCCUGGCUGCCAUCCGAACAUCUCUCCACUCUACCACUACCCACACGCCCUGCAGUGUGACUGCGCUGUCUGCUCGACUCACCAUACUGAGUGCCAGACCUUCUGAAGGGGCCAAGGCGAAAAGAUAUAACAGCAGGCUACGUUAUAGUCAUUAAGAUUAACCUAAUGAUAUUGCAUAAUGAUACUACUCUUUUGCAUUGCAUCACUGAUAGACUAAUAUUAACACAAGUGUUAUUGUCAGACUUCCUUAUUCUCUUGUUACUCAGCGCUUCACUGCAAACUAACUCGGCCAACCCAAUAACACACGUCUCAGCCUCCCCAUACUGUAUAAAAUGUGUACAGGCUGUUUUGCACAAGUGUUUUGUAACAAUUUGUAUCAUUGUACUUCUGGAAUUUGCUCACUAGUCUAUAGUCAAUGGACUAUAGUUUAUAGUACAGGCUAUAGACACUAAACUAGUCUAUUGAUGUGUUUCAAGUAAUAAAUGCAUCAUCAGAG